RNAcentral lists this ribosomal RNA (984 nucleotides) under human gut metagenome. RNAcentral describes it as "bacterial LSU rRNA". It matches the Rfam family "Bacterial large subunit ribosomal RNA", at positions 1945 to 2925 of the family's 2925-position model. RNAcentral also lists the same sequence under 1 other name. The record is from RNAcentral.
ACCAUCCUAAGGUAGCGAAAUUCCUUGUCGGGUAAGUUCCGACCUGCACGAAUGGAGUAACGACUUCCCUACUGUCUCAACCAUGAACUCGGCGAAAUUGCAGUACGAGUAAAGAUGCUCGUUUCGCGCAGCAGGACGGAAAGACCCCGUGACCUUUACUAUAGUUUGGUAUUGGUGUUUGGUUUGGCUUGUGUAGGAUAGGUGGGAGACUGUGAAGCAUGGACGCUAGUUUGUGUGGAGUCGUUGUUGAAAUACCACUCUGGUCAAUCUGGAUGUCUAACUUCGGGCCAUGAUCUGGUUCAGGGACAGUGCCUGAUGGGUAGUUUAACUGGGGCGGUUGCCUCCUAAAGUGUAACGGAGGCGCCCAAAGGUUCCCUCAGCCUGGUUGGCAAUCAGGUGUUGAGUGUAAGUGCACAAGGGAGCUUGACUGUGAGACUGGCAGGUCGAGCAGGGACGAAAGUCGGGACUAGUGAUCCGGCGGUACGUUGUGGAACGGCCGUCGCUCAACGGAUAAAAGGUACCUCGGGGAUAACAGGCUGAUCUUGCCCAAGAGUCCAUAUCGACGGCAUGGUUUGGCACCUCGAUGUCGGCUCGUCGCAUCCUGGGGCUGGAGUCGGUCCCAAGGGUUGGGCUGUUCGCCCAUUAAAGCGGUACGCGAGCUGGGUUCAGAACGUCGUGAGACAGUUCGGUCCCUAUCCGCUGCGCGCGUUGGAAAUUUGAGAAAGGCUGUCCUUAGUACGAGAGGACCGGGACGGACGAACCUCUGGUAUGUCAGUUGUACCGCCAGGUGCAUGGCUGAUUGGCUACGUUCGGGAGGGAUAACCGCUGAAAGCAUCUAAGCGGGAAGCCUGUUUCGAGAUGAGAUUUCCUGGCACUUUGGUGUGUGAGGCUCCUUAUAGAUGAUGAGGUUGAUAGGCCGGGUAUGGAAGCGGGGACUGAAGACUCGUGGAGUUGACUGGUACUAAUAGGCCGAAGGCUUACUUU